CACCAACAUGUCAGGUUUAUUUCUCCUUCGCUCUCACCUGAGAGCGGGGCAUCCAAAUCAUAACAAAACCAGGGCCCAAGAGUGGGAAGCGGCCCCCUGGGUGGGCCUGAACCUCAAUUUCACCCUUCCCCCGGGCAUAGGGCCCAGGCCAGGACGCUCACCCGAAUGUGGCUGGGCCUCCUUGUGCCCUAGGCCCACGGGGCGGAGGCAGCACCAACAUUGGGGAUGGUCCCCCAAGAACAGAGGAGGAAGCCCAGCCUCCGGCAGGCAGUAUCCACAUCCACGUCCACCUGCUCAGGCCUGCAGCCUCCAGACCU
This 317-nucleotide non-coding RNA is filed under the name Pan troglodytes (chimpanzee). Lineage: Eukaryota; Metazoa; Chordata; Mammalia; Primates; Hominidae. The record is from RNAcentral.